UCUCCGUAGGUGAACCUGCGGAGGGAUCAUUACAGAGUUCAUGCCCUACCGGGUAGAUCUCCCACCCUAUGUUAUUAUUACUUUGUUGCUUUGGCGGGCCGUUAGGCUCCGGCCCGACUACCGGCCCCGGCUGGUAAGCGCCCGCCAGAGGACCCAAAACCCUGAAUAUUAGUGUCGUCUGAGUACUAUAUAAUAGUUAAAACUUUCAACAACGGAUCUCUUGGUUCUGGCGUCGAUGAAGAACGCAGC
This 249-nucleotide unclassified non-coding RNA is filed under the name plant metagenome. RNAcentral's name for it is "partial contains small subunit ribosomal RNA, internal transcribed spacer 1, and 5.8S ribosomal RNA". The stretch from base 201 to 249 matches the Rfam family "5.8S ribosomal RNA", at positions 1 to 49 of the family's 154-position model. The record is from RNAcentral.